GCUGGGUCCCCUCCAUGUUUUAGUCAAGUUCAAAAUCACUGCCUCGAGGGAAGCAGGGGGAAGUGGGAUUCGAGAGGUGGGGUGGAGGAGGAGGGGAAAGAAAAUGAGGCAGAGACAGAAAUGGAGGCAGCAAAACACAAAAUACUCCACAAGCAAGAGUUAUGAUCAUAAUCACGCUAAUAGUGUGAUGUUCUGAUCAAUAUGGCGGACACUGUCAUUCAUACAACUAGAGGCGCUCCCCUUCCCUCCCCCAAAACACCGACCCCAGGAGUUGGGGUGGGGAACCCAGUACCAACGUAGGGAGUGGGGGAGGGGAGGCAAAACCGGGUCUCUUCUGUGUGAGCACGAAUUAAAAACCAGGACCGGGGAGCAAUUAUGGUUGAUCAAGAUAAUAAAAACGACAUAAAAUUAUUAAUAAAAGUACAAAUCCCAAUGCCAUAGGGACUUACUUCA
RNAcentral lists this long non-coding RNA (453 nucleotides) under Rattus norvegicus (Norway rat). RNAcentral's name for it is "long non-coding RNA NONRATT014044". The record is from RNAcentral. Lineage: Eukaryota; Metazoa; Chordata; Mammalia; Rodentia; Muridae.